AGGGGCUGCGUCGCUGGAGGGCGCUCGGCCCCGCGGAGGCCACCUACGCCUCGCAGCGGGAGCCCGAGACCGCCCUCUGCCCUCGCGGUGCCUUUCGCGUCCCUACCCGAUCCUGUCCUGGGCCCUCUCCUCCUUUGCCCUCAGCUGCGUCCCUAUUCCUCCCGCCCUCUCCAGCCUCCGGGUCACUCGCCGGUUGCCCUUGGGCGCGCGGAGUUUAGAAGGCGCGAUUCCCAGGUCCGGGUCUGCCGGCGCCGGCCGCCAGAGAGCAGCAAGCGCCCGGCUUCUGCGGACUGCGGACUGGACCUGGCAAUGCCGCUGCGGGUUGCCUCCAGAGUACCUGGAUGAACUGCCGCACCUCCUUCCUUCUCUAGUUCCACUGACCCGGGCACAGUCUCAGGCACCACUGUCCAGCGCGGUGGCUUGGAGAGAGUCCCGGAAGCGGCCAGAGACUAUGAAAGUGCUUCAUGUUCUGCUACUUUGAAAAUUAUUCAAUCACAGAGGUCCAGAGUCCUGGGUCCACUAAGUUGUUCAUCUGUAAAGGAUCCAUCCAAAAACUCUCCACAAAAGACCUUAGAAUUGAUAAUCAAAGUCAGCAG
Fukomys damarensis (Damara mole-rat) is the source of this 596-nucleotide long non-coding RNA. RefSeq lists it as uncharacterized. The transcript has 3 exons. The record is from RefSeq and is a predicted model, not a curated record. Lineage: Eukaryota; Metazoa; Chordata; Mammalia; Rodentia; Bathyergidae.